Molecule: ribosomal RNA, 253 nt
Filed under: uncultured bacterium
Lineage: Bacteria
Description: partial 16S ribosomal RNA
Rfam family: Bacterial small subunit ribosomal RNA
Source: RNAcentral
UACGUAUGGGGCAAGCGUUAUCCGGAUUUACUGGGUGUAAAGGGUGCGUAGGUGGCAUGGUAAGUCAGAUGUGAAAACUUGGGGCUCAACUUCAAGAUUGCAUCUGAAACUGCUAAGCUAGAGUGCAGGAGAGGAAAGUGGAAUUCCGAGUGUAGCGGUGAAAUGCGUAGAGAUUCGGAGGAACACCAGUAGCGAAGGCGACUUUCUGGACUGUAACUGACACUGAGGCACGAAAGCGUGGGGAGCGAACAGG